UAAGGGAGUAAGAACUCGGAGCCUCCCAGCUGGUCACUGAGCCCCAGAACAACACGGAGGGCAGAGGUGGAGGUACUGGUUUAAGUCCUGGAAUCCACUGUCUGAAGGCUGCAGUGUGUGAGGGCAGCACAGGGAGAGAGAAUUCACCCUGCCUCUGCCUUUUUGUUCUGUUCCUGCCCUCAGUGGCCCAGCUGAUGCCUGCACACGUUGGUCAGGGCAGAUUAUCUUCAGUGGGUUGUCCACUAAUGCUAAUGUUGAUUUCUUCUGGAAACGUCUGUACAGACACACCCAGAAAUGCCGGGAUCCCAGCUUUCCAUCCCUCUAAGAGGUCAAUUUCAUCCUUCCCUACAAGAAUCAGAGCAUCACAAAGUUCACCGAGGCUGUUGCAUGCAGGACUGGACAAGCAUGAGCUUCAUCACAGAACCAAAGGAGCUGCUGGCCUGGCCUGCACAACCCUGACAGUGCACCAGGCCUAA
This 476-nucleotide long non-coding RNA is filed under the name Chinchilla lanigera (long-tailed chinchilla). RNAcentral's name for it is "lncRNA (ENSCLAG00000028183.1)". Lineage: Eukaryota; Metazoa; Chordata; Mammalia; Rodentia; Chinchillidae. The record is from RNAcentral.